ACCUGGGUGGCUCAGUUGGUUGAGCAUCUGACUUCAGCUCAGGUCAUCAUCUCACGGUUUGUGAGUUCAAGCCCCACAUCAGGCU
RNAcentral lists this transfer RNA (85 nucleotides) under Felis catus (domestic cat). It matches the Rfam family "tRNA". Rfam says of the family: Transfer RNA (tRNA) molecules are approximately 80 nucleotides in length. Their secondary structure includes four short double-helical elements and three loops (D, anti-codon, and T loops). The record is from Rfam by way of RNAcentral. Lineage: Eukaryota; Metazoa; Chordata; Mammalia; Carnivora; Felidae.